Molecule: long non-coding RNA, 8796 nt
Organism: Numida meleagris (helmeted guineafowl)
Lineage: Eukaryota; Metazoa; Chordata; Aves; Galliformes; Numididae
Exons: 4
Source: RefSeq, a predicted model, not a curated record
GCUGCCAGCCUUCCCCCGCCCGGUGCCAGGCUGCCCCCUGCGGGUCUCGCCGCCCACCGCCGGCAGUGCUCCAGUGCCGGCAGAGGGGUGCUAGCCGCCGCCGCUGCUGCUCUGCCCCGGGCUCAGCGGCAGCUGCAGUGACUGUGUGUCUGUGUCAUGUCUGUGCAUGGGCGGGAGGAGGCGCGGCGCCGAGGCGGAGCCAGCCCGCUGACACACCGCCCAGCGACAGGCAACGAGCGCCCAACCAGCGGCAGCCGCGCACCGAGCGGCGCCCCCGGGCCGCUACACCUGGGUCGGGCCGGGUCGGGCCAGGCCGGAGCGGGAGGGGCGGAGAGGGGCGAGCCGACCCCGCGCCUCAGCGUGCGUGCGAUGCUGAGGGAAGUGUCUAAAGCGCUAUGGGAAGCACAAGCAGGACAGAAAUCCCAGGAGGGGAGCCAGUGUGAAUGCAGUUCUGAAGACAUUGAUCCCCUCCUAGGAUGGAAGAGGAAGGAAAGUAGGCACGUGCUUUGGGUAACAAUGUAAGUAAUCAGAAGCAGGAAUAACAGGGAUGCUGUUCAGUGCUUAUUGCUUUCUUUUUCCAGAAUUCCAGGAAGAAUUCUUUUAGAAAAGAAUGUCGUUCUGUUUCAGAUACCACAGAUGCUAAUUUCUCCUGUUCCAUCAACCGUUUAAAUGCUGUAAUCAAUACAGAACUUACGUUUUGCAGUACACUCUACCAAAAUACCAUGAACUCAGGAGCAGAUUAUUCAUGGGAAGAUAGCGUUUGCCAGACUCGAUUAAGGUUUUGGUCCAUCAACCGCAGUGCUCUGCCGCCAGUCAUGCCCACUGCCCGAUGCUUCAGUCAGGAGUGGUAUCAGAUGAACUGCAGCAAAUCAUGAAGUUGAACAUGUCAAUGAUAUCACAUAAGUGUUACUGACUGCAAAUUGACAUAUUAUGACAACUGGAAGAGCAUUUAGGGGAAAAAAAAAAAGGAGAAUUCAUAGAAUAGCUUGAGUUGAGAAGGAUCUUUAAAGGCCAUCUGGUCCACCUCCCCUGCAACGAACAGGGACACCUACACCUAGAUCAGAGUGCUCAGAGCCCCUCCAGCCCAACUUUGAAUGUCUCAAGGGACAGGGCAUCCACCACCUCUCUGGGUAACCUGUGCCCAUGCCUCAUCACCCUUGCUGAAAAAAACGUCUGCCUUAUAUUCAAUCUAAAUCUCCCCUCUUUUAGUUUGAAACCAUUUCCCUUUGUUAUAUCAGUUCAGAUCUGAAUGAUAUUCUGGAGAAGCUAUGGUAACGUACCGGUCAGUCUCUAUAGUUUUCGUGAGUAAAUCAAAGUCAGAAAUGAGCUAUACUGCCGUGUGUUAUUCUGUCCAUUCACUUCAGUAAAGCAAAAGGAUCCCUAUCAUGUAAUAACAUGUCUUUAUCUUUUCUUGCACUAGUGAAGGUUUGCAACUGCUUUGGUGACAAUCAUGAUGAAAGAAUUUCUGGGGAUGUAUGGAGGAGGAAACAAGACUGUAUGUACGGUUUCAUUAUUAAGAAAGCCAUGUUGUCUACUGCCUAUCACUGGAAGUUUGAGCAGAUUCAUAUUUUUAAGCCUCAUGCUGUGUCUUAAAGAUUUGUGAAUUGUCAGUCUGAUCCUACAUCAUAUUGAACAAUUUCUACAGGUUCUUAAUGUUCUCGUCUCCUGUUAGAGCAGGGAAAUCUCAGCACCCGCAAAAAUUCUUAGGUUUUAAGAGUGGCAUGGAUUAAUAGGAUUAGCUAAUGUACCACCAUACAUGACAAAUGAUGAAACUUCAUACUGCAGCCAAGUAUCUUACUUGGCUUACUUGAAAUUGCUCAGCACCUGUCAGGUUGCUGUCCUACACAAAAUGGAGAACAGUUGUUGAAACCCAUGGCAGCAUUAGUCAGACUCUGGCUGAGAGUGAUUACCACCAGGUUACAAAAACUAAUGGGUGGGAGGAGCAGCUACCUAUGAAGAGAGAGGGUUUUUUUUUAAAUUGUGUUUAUAAGUGAGUAAUCUUUUAAAAUUCAUCAUAAAAACACUCCAUUUGACUUUGUUCUUGAAGACCUGAAGGAGCAAUUGCUUUGGACAUGGAGUAAACAGCUGAUGCAGAAGGGUCUGUAUGCCCAGGAAAUCUUAAAAUAAAUUUAAAAAAAAAAAAAAAAACUGCAAACAUUUAAAUUUCAAAUUUCAUUUAGCCAGAAAGAAGCUUUCUCCAGAAGCUACACGGUUCUGGAGCAGGAGGUCUCCUCACAUUUUUUAAAAAAGUAAAACCUGUAGUAAUGUCAAGUAUAUAUUUUGUAAAAAUGAACAGUUAUGUUAGGUUGCAAAUCUCAAAGCUUUAACAGUCAUAUUAAUCAAAAAUAUAUAAACCAGACUUUUUUUUUUUUAAAUAGGAACAUGUCUAUUUUGAGAUUAUAAAAGUUUUUUUAAAAAAAUUGUAGGGAUUACCUCUAAUGUGCAUUACAUUAAAUUAUACUGCGAUAGAAUUAUCACACAAGUGUUUGAGCUUUUUUUUUUCCUUACUAGAACAAGAGAUAAAGGCAUAACAGUGCACACAUUCAAACAGGUUAUAGUAUUUUCACAAUAGUAAAACAUGACUGAGUGCAGUAGGACUAACUCUGUUCAUAAGACCCUGAUCAUUUGCAGAUUAGCUGAGUUUAGAUGAGAAGAACAAAAUUAUUCCCAGUAUAACCAUUUUAUGUGAAAGGAAGGAGGGGUCUAAGGCCCAUAAAUAUUCAAGCUAAGAACAUACAUGGAGUUCAUCUCCUAUUUAGACCAAUGAAGUCUUUUUUACAUUCUUACAGUUGCUUCAUUGUUCUAGAUGAAGUCAACCAGUAUGAGCUCUUUUGAGAAAAAAGACUGUGCUUUGUUCAUCAAGUGACAUACAAAUGCUUUACCGCUUUAUUAGUGCAUUACUUGCUAGCUUCAAUAGUAGCUAAAAUAUUCUUGAAAACUAGAAAGGUGUCUCUGCCCAAAUUCCUCCACAAACACUCCUGAGUUCAAUGAACGUUUCAAAUACAUGGUAAGACUGGUGCUGCUGCAUCACACUCAAGGUUUUGGAUGUGUGUGGACAAAACAAAGUUCUCCAUGAGCUGCUUUUGUGUGGAGUUAGUGAAAUAGCUACUUUUGCAUAGAAAUUAACCAUUCAGGGUAUUGUCGCAGGGAACAGAAGGCUGGCUGGAUUGUAUUAACUAAUGCACUUCAACACAUAGGGUUGGGUCUCUUUGUUUAUAAUCAUCACUCUUGACUUCUAGAUGUGAAAUUGCACAACCAUUAAUGAUAUCAGAGUACAAAGAGCAAGACUAAGACUAGAAGUUUGAAGCAAGCCCCAGUCUGUGAGAUUCUUAUUAUCAUCUGCUGCUACAGUGAACACCAGGCUACUGAAGGACUGGUUGCCCAACACCUCUUGUAGUAGGAAAGGUCUUUUAGACAGGAAACAACUAAGAUAUAAUCUUCUCUGGAAAAAUAAAUGUCUAGUUCUUGAGUGUAAAAUGGAAACUCCAUUACAUAAGCUCUCCCUCCUGGACACUAAAUUAAAGUUUAAUUCAGAAUUUCCUGUGCACAUAACAAAAAAACACAACAAAACAAACAAACAAACAAAAAACACCACCCCCCCAAAAAAAAGCCUGAACAAAACCCAGAGUCCUUGUGGCUGUAAUAACUGGGGAAAAAAAAUCACCCAGUUAAAAUUCAUGCCUUUAAGUGAAUAGAAAGCAUCAUGAAAACCUAAAACAUUUAGAAUUCAAAGAAAAAUAAAUUAUUAAACAAAAAUGUUUGUCUUCUAUGCCAAAGUCAAUUUCUGACAAUAAACUGAAUAUUCUGUGAUAAAUUAUGUUAAAUUUCAUACAGGCUUCUCCUGGAAUUCAGUUGUGCUUCUGACCCAAAAAGGAAAAGGUAAACAUCUUUACUGGCAUCUUAGGUAAGUGCACAAUGCUUCAGUCUAAGAAAAGAUGAAGGAGACGGGUAUCUUCCUCUGUUUGUUUACUUUGUACAUCACAGAACUGUUUAUAGAUUUUCUGUUUUACUGUUACUGCCAGUUACUAAUUUCCCUUUGUUAUGACUUAAUUAAGAGGAGAACAGUUGUUUUUGUUGUUGUUGUUGUUGUUGUUUGCUUGGUUUUGAUCUGUUUUGUUUUUAAAGGAAGGAAUAGUGCUUUUAAAACCAUAACAAAUAGUGGUAAGAAGUGGAAGAGUAAGUAUGUACAACUUUAAUUUUAUGAAGUUAAUCUAAUUUGACAGUAUUUUUUUAAGUUGGGGUCUACCAAGAUGGUCAAGUCAAUUCUGCAUUGCUACUUAUUGAUCACUGUUUUACUAAUCUGUCACAUACAACUCAGAAAAGAUUUUGGUUUUUACUCCAUAAAGUUAACACCAAUGUUUCCAGAUGUCUCAGUAAUGCGUAAAUGCAUCCUAUAAAAUGAGUAAUAAGUGCGGUGUUCAAAGUGAUAUGAUUUUGGCUUGUGGCUUUUUUGUUGUUGUUGUUUUUGUUUUGUUUCUGAUGGAGUCUUCACACUUAAGUUCUGGAUAAUGUACAAUAGCUUUAUUUGUCUAUAUUAACAUAUAUCCUUCAAUUUACAGAAACUUCUAGUAAAGAAAAGUGACACUGGACAAACUUUGAAGUAACUUUAAACUUGCUUAGCUAGGAAGAUGAGAUUGACCCGAAUACUCUUAAAGCCUAAAUCAAGGAGAGAGAAAACAGAAAUCUCCUUCAGCUUUCAAAACUUCAUCCGUCUCCUGAGAAUCAAAUCUUCUGCUGGCAGAUGUCAGCAGGCAGCACCAGAACCAUACUGUAUUCCUGAAGGAUCUGCUCUUCAACACCUGACUGCCACUACUUGAGUGUCAAAGUCACAGAUAACUCUCAGCAUUACUUGAGGGCAAUUCAAAUUCCCUUGGGGCCUUGUAUGAUGUUGUCAACCUGACUGGGUAGUAAAGCAGACCAGACCAUCACUUCUGCAGACAUUCCCGAUGAACCACACCAGCAGUACACUGGCUGUUUAAAUCCUGGAGGAAGGACAGCAUUAAGCAAACCAAACACAAAUGACAGUACUGAGUGGACUUGAAAUGCACUGUGAGCAAAGGGAAAGGAACCUAAGAGAGUUGCAUCAUGUAGUUAAUACUGUUUAGGUGAAACUAACACAAUAGUACACCAGGCUGGAAUGUAAGUGGUGGAAAUGUGGGUGCAAAUGUCUUUUUGGCUGUUUAAGUUAAGGCUGUUAAUGUGAAAAAUUGCAUAGUUUCUAAUUGGAAUGCAUGUUGAAAACUCUGCAUCAUAAAAAUGGAAAAUAGAAUCUGAACAUGCUGCGUAUCAUGAAUCUGACUGAACAGGACUCAGAGAAGAAAUUAUAAGUGUGUUUUAGCAGUCACUGCAAAUUAUCUCAUGGGUUCUUUAUGUAUACGUGUUUUUGUGAUGUCAAGCUGCAGGAGCUUAGGAGUUUUGUAGAGCUUAUUGCAAGUGCUGUGGCUCAGUAGAUGUCUGAGACUUUUUUCAGCAAGACUGAAAAUCCCAUCUUUGUCCACGGUAAGUUACCAUAGACUAUGGGUGCUGAGACCACAACUCUGAAAAGGUUGUGCAGACAUGCUCAACACUGCAUGCUGCAAGUUGUCCUAGAGAAAACAAGAAGGUUUUUACAGGAAUGUGAAGGCCUUUGCAAAAGACCAGCCCCAGAUGUGGACAAAAUGGGAUGCAGUCUAGAACAGCAAAAUGGCUGUGGUCCAGCAGGCUACUUUGUCUAUGCCGGAGCUGCAGUAAACCAGAUUGGCUCGUAUUACUGCAGUUGUCACCAGAGUGCAGACAAGAUGUCUGGUGUGAUGUCUGUCUGCUGCUGGGAUUGAGAGUCCUCUCCAGCAGUGCUGUAUCUAGCAACAUGCUACCCACCCUCACGGAAGUACUGGAGUUGACCACUACUUCACCACAUGGUCUCAUUCUUUUCCCUUGGCAACAGCAGCCCCAUCCUGAGUCCCUCAGCUUUGAGGCAGAAACAUUGCGUUUUGCAUGUGUUGAGAUUGUUGAGCUGGCUGUGCUUUGUAGGAGUGGGUCUUACAUAUAUACCAUAAAUUCACACUGAUUAAAUAUAACUGUCCUGUUCAACUCCUUGGUAAGUUUUGUUGAACGAACAAACAAAGAUAGCUUUUAAAGGGAAUUGGAAUGGUGGAAGGCAACAAAAUCCAGGACAAUACAGUAGCAAAAUAUGGGUGGAAAUCAAAUGUGCAUGCACCAUUUCUCAUAAUUAGAGAUUCUUUGGUAGUAUCACUACACUUGCACACUUACAUGCCUUUUUUUUUUUUAACUCUAAGAAAAAAUGUGCUAAGUUCUACCGACAAAUAGUACCUAAAGGUGUUACUCUUAAGUAGUUAGGAACAAGAGACAAGUGAUGUCGUACACUGCUAUUCAUAUACCACACAACUAAACUCACCAGCUUUCUAAGCGGAACAAUCAAAACAACAUUCUCUCCCCUGCCCAGAGUAGACAGAUCCACAAAUUCUACAAACCUCACAUUUCCACAAAAUACGGGUCUCACUGUGUUCCAAAUCGUGAGACUUGGUGACUGAGUGAUGCAGAAUUACACUAAAAGUGUAGCUGAGGUACAUCUCAUCAGGCUCUGAAUCUCUCCACUGAUUUUUGGCAGGAAUUUGCUCUAUUCCCUUAUACUUACUAGACCCUUUGUUCGAAAGGAGAACUAAACAGUCAGAAUUGAUUAUCACAUAAUUGUUUCAAAGGAAACCAAAAGAUGCUGUAGUUAAGAAGAAGUAAUUAGGUAGAAUCUAGUACUUUUUGAAAACAUUGCUCUGGGGAAUAAGUCCUAAAGUAAUAAUUCAUGUGAAAUACAUAGCAAGUGCUCUGUUCAGAGGGGGAGAAAAGAAAAGCAACCUGAGUUAUGCACUUCUAUAGCUGUAAGAGUCUCUCAAAAAUUGUGAUUUUUCAUAUGUUUCUGGAUCCCCUUGUUUUGUUAAAGCAGAAAUUCACAGAUGCAAGUGGAUAGUAGGAGGGAGUAAAAGGUAGCCAGCUUGAAGAACAGUUGUGGAACACAGGCAAGACACUGGUUUCACUGUGUUUUUUUUUUCCUAAAUGAUUUGUGUUGGUGUGGUUUGCAUUCUGAAAGCUUUAGCUCCCUGUUAAUGCAGAUUCUCAUCGAGGAUUAUAUACAUUUAAAUCCUUGUACUGUUGUAAGCAAUGAACAUUAGCAACCUUUAUUUACACUGCUGUUCUAUAAAAAGCAGGGGGGAUGCUGAAAAGAGGAUAUUUUCCUUUGGCCAAAGGACACAACCUGAUUAGAAUAUUAUAUAACAUUAAUACUCAUUUGGCAUCUUUUUUGAGGCAGAUCUAGAAAAUCAACACCUAAGAUGGUGGUGGCAGCUGCAUGCUGGAAAAAAUGAAAUCGCCUGUCUGAGGACUUUUUAAUGAGUUGUUCAGAACUGAUUGGUAAGGUUAGCUGAGAAGGAGCACAUAGGAGGUGAAGAAGAAUGGCUGCCAACACUGCAAGAAUCCCUGUUCCUUCCCUUACAGUUACGACAGUAAGGGAAUAUUGCAGCCAUAAGCAGGGAUAGGUUGGAGGAGGACCAGGAAUACUGACAGAUACUCCCAACCUCUGCCAGAGGCCAGGUACCCAAGUUUCAUGUAAGCACUCGGAAAAGGAAUUAGGCGCUACUGAAGAAGCAGCCAACUCAAAACAGUUCUAUGGUGGAGCUUAAGCCAGGAACCAAGGCCAGCCUCCACAUAGGCAGGGCAGUGAAUCCACUGACCCAAGUGCAGUCCCUCAUGACUUGGCAACAUGAGCAAAGACAGAUUCAGUGACAAUCCUAGAUAAGGCACUGUGAAGAACCAGCUCCACAGUCCAGUCAGGCAGCCUCGUCAGGAGCAGAGGGUGCUGCAGCUUGGGGCUACUGUACAAACCUCAGGUUCAGCCAAAGACAGAAGCAAGCACAGAUAUAACUAUCACAUAAUUCAGAGCAGAAGUAGGUGCCCAGAUGUGAACUUGAAUAUCACUGGAACAUAGAGUGGGCAGGGACCCAAAUGAGGCAGGUUUGGGAAAUUAAGACCUGUUAAUGUACCCAGGACUUCGAGGAGAAGGAAAAGAAGGCUUGCAGAGGAAGCAUUAGGAGUAUGUGAAAGAUUGCAGCAUGGUGAAAAAAAGUCUGAGAUGGAAAAUGGAGCCAAAAAAAAAGAAAAAAAAAAAAGAAGGAAAGAAGAGACUAUGCUGUUCUGUUCUGGAGAACUGAAGGAAGUCAUUAAACUGAAAUCUGGGAGAAGAUCGUAGAGAUCUAGAAAGGAAGACUAAAACAAUCUUCUGAAUUACAGCCCAUAGACCAUCUAGUGCUCUGAAUGAGUCAACAAAUCUCUUAGGAUUUGUGGAACCCUCCGAAUACCUCUCGUUAAAUUUGUAACCUCUCCUAUGGAAAUGCAUUUCACUUUCUGUAACACUCAAGGGGCUUGCAACUAGAAACAGUAAUUACUGAGCCCAGCUGUCCCAUCAGUAACCAACUUGAGUAGAAUGACCAGUGAAUGUGACAACAGGCAGUGGAACGUUAAUGAGUAAAAUAAUGAUAAUCCUAUAGAUGUUAAAUUGGAAUGACAAAGCAGCCAUGUUGGCCCUUUCUCACUCUGAGCUUGUGCAUCAAAGAGGUAUAGUCAGUGAGUUUCCGGAUUGUUACAUAGCGAAGCAAAAACAGAGGGAGAAGGGCUGAGCCUGUCUGUGAUCUGAUCUUUACCAUAAAAAGGGGAGGAUAUUUUAUGAACUGUCACUCUGAGUACAAAUAAAUGUAGAAUUUAAGAAAGAACUGAUGUAUUUGAUUUAUAAAUAAAGUGUAGAGAAUAAUC